CAAACUGUAGCAGAUGUCAGGGAAGG
Molecule: non-coding RNA, 26 nt
Filed under: Cricetulus griseus (Chinese hamster)
Lineage: Eukaryota; Metazoa; Chordata; Mammalia; Rodentia; Cricetidae
Source: RNAcentral